Non-coding RNA from Solanum lycopersicum (tomato), 106 nucleotides. The record is from Rfam. NCBI's taxonomy places the organism in Eukaryota, Viridiplantae, Streptophyta, Magnoliopsida, Solanales, Solanaceae.
UGAUCAUGAUGAGGGCAACUCAUCAACAUUGAUUUGAAUCUGUCCCAAGCUGGUAUAGGUCUUCACCACCUUUCUGCCAAAAGCUGAGAAUGUCACUUCUCAAUUU